RNAcentral lists this long non-coding RNA (1054 nucleotides) under Ictidomys tridecemlineatus (thirteen-lined ground squirrel). RNAcentral describes it as "lncRNA (ENSSTOG00000029422.1)". Lineage: Eukaryota; Metazoa; Chordata; Mammalia; Rodentia; Sciuridae. The record is from RNAcentral.
CGAGCCAAUGGGCGUGGGAGAGGCCGGAAGCCAGUGUCCUCCAAUCGCCGGCCGCGGCGUGAGCCCCCAGCCAAUCCGAGUCGAGGGCCGAACCAACGGGCUCGCUGUUGGAGGGGUGACGGGAGAGCCCCGGACAGCCAGUCUCUUGGGGAAGCCCCGCGGGCCUCAGGGCAGGCGUCCAAAGGGCUACUUCUGUAGCUUCGCUCUAUCCGCAGUGCCUCUUGUCUCCUCGGCGCUCUGGAGGGAAGAGGGUCCAACGUUCCGGGGUUUUGAUAGAAGGACCAGCAACGCAGGUGGAACCGAGCCCGGCUGCCCGGGGUCUCGGGCCGGGGUCCCGGGCCGGCGGUCAGCAGCACGGAUUUGACUUAAAACAAAGAAAUUCAACAAUUGGAGCAGCCAACCUUGCAGGACUGAAGAUCUGUGAGUAAUAAAUGAGCUUCAGCAGCAGGACACCCUGUAGUCUCCAGAAGGCUGAAGUCUUCCUGAUCUUGGUUAUCCACCUGGGCAGGGGAACUCCGGAGGUGUCAUUACUGAAUAAACAAGGAGGGGUGUUUCUAACUUGAGCGGUGUCUGGAAACCAUAAACUUGAAGGACAGGACUUCAAUCAGCAGUUGCUUCAGUACUUGUGUCAACUGGUGUACCAAACAUGGCUUCCUCCAUCUAGGAAAGAGGAAGUCCACACACUAAGGUAAGCUGUGGGAAUGGUCCAGUGAAAUCUGACUGCAUCAGUCCUCCCAGAGAUCAGUGUUGCCAACAGUGGAGGAAAAGAGGGGAAGGGAGCACAGAGUGAUGACACCGAACUGCCAAAGGACAAACUUAACCCAGAUGGCCACGAAAACAGAUAGUUUGGACCUGGCCUUUCGGGAAAGAAAAGUGGAAAGUCAGGUUUUAUUUGAAACAGAAAUAUCCCAGAAGCUCUUGGAUGGCCUUAACGAAGAUCUCUGCCAGAAAAUACUCGCACCCAUUCAGCAAGCAUUAAAAGAAGGCCACCUGGACGCGACUAGGCUGACAGGUUGUUUUAGUCGGGGCUCUCCCCCAAGUCUUGGGAUCCCAA